AACGGCGAGWGAAGCGGUAAAAGCUCAAAUUUGAAAUCUGGUACUUUCAGUGCCCGAGUUGUAAUUUGUAGAAUUUGUCUUUGAUUAGGUCCUUGUCUAUGUUCCUUGGAACAGGACGUCAUAGAGGGUGAGAAUCCCGUUUGGCGAGGAUACCUUUUCUCUGUAAGACUUUUUCGAAGAGUCGAGUUGUUUGGGAAUGCAGCUCAAAGUGGGUGGUAAAUUCCAUCUAAAGCUAAAUAUUGGCGAGAGACCGAUAGCGAACAAGUACAGUGAUGGAAAGAUGAAAAGAACUUUGAAAAGAGAGUGAAAAAGUACGUGAAAUUGUUGAAAGGGAAGGGCAUUUGAUCAGACAUGGUGUUUUUUGCAUGCACUCGCCUCUCGUGGGCUUGGGCCUCUCAAAAAUUUCACUGGGCCAACAUCAAUUCUGGCAGCAGGAUAAAUCAUUAAGAAUGUAGCUACUUCGGUAGUGUUAUAGCUUUUUGGAAUACUGUUAGCCGGGAUUGAGGACUGCGCUCGGCAAGGA
RNAcentral lists this ribosomal RNA (523 nucleotides) under Hanseniaspora uvarum. Its description in RNAcentral is "LSU rRNA". It matches the Rfam family "Eukaryotic large subunit ribosomal RNA", at positions 85 to 610 of the family's 3401-position model. Lineage: Eukaryota; Fungi; Ascomycota; Saccharomycetes; Saccharomycodales; Saccharomycodaceae. The record is from RNAcentral.